UCCAGCUAUUCGCCGGCAGUCCCCUUAGAGUUCCCAGCAUUACCUGUUGGCAACUAAGGGCAAAGGUUGCGCUCGUUGCGGGACUUAACCCAACACUUCACAGCACGAGCUGACGACAGCCAUGCAGCACCUGUACAAUUGUCUCUUGCGAGAAGACCUACUUUCGUAGGCUGUCAACUGCUUUUCAAGCCUGGGUAAGGUUCUUCGCGUAGCCUCGAAUUAAACCACAUGCUCCACCGCUUGUGCGGGUCCCCGUCAAUUUCUUUGAGUUUCAGUCUUGCGACCGUACUCCCCAGGUGGUGGAUUUAAUGCGUUAGCGUCGGCGCUGGAGGGAUCGACACCCCCAACACCUAAUCCACAUCGUUUACGGCAAGGACUAC
Molecule: unclassified non-coding RNA, 380 nt
Filed under: uncultured bacterium
Lineage: Bacteria
Description: contains 16S-23S intergenic spacer region
Source: RNAcentral